UCCCCUCAAUCAUCAUCAUCCCUGCCACUCUAGCUCCCAGGGCUGCCCUGACUGUCCCAGAGACUUUCCCCAAGUUUUCUUGGAUGCAGACCUACACAUGCAGCUAAGGGGCACCUGAGGAGGGUGUGAGGAGCAGAAGAUGCUCUAGAACCCAUGUUCCUUGGCUGUAAGGCUGACAGCCAGCACAGGGGGCACGGGAAGGGUCUCCUCAUCAUCCCAGUCUUUCCAGAAAAACCCUGCAGCAAGUUUGCAAACAGCAGAAUAACGGGGUCAAACCAGUCCUCCCAGAAAGCACAGCCCAGGAGAAGAACAGAUGUUUCAUCCAGUGAGCUUGUUUAUUUGUUUUGGGUUUUUCAAAUGAUUCUGUGAAGUUUUGGCCAGAGGUAAAUAGAGAUCUUGUGUUUCAUGGUAUUCUCGUCCACAUGGCAGGGCACAUUCACAAAAGAAAAAGUUCAACAGGCACAAGUGUGUUGAACUCUUUAGAGUUUUUUCACUCUAAAGAAUGUUAAUUUCAUAAAUAUUCUUUUCAUAAACAUUCUUUUCUUCUUUAAAGAUUGCAAUACCUCACUACACCUACUUUAUAGCAUUUAGUUGGGCUUUUUUUUUUUCCUGAAACUUCUUUCAGAAGAAUUCCAAGAACGACCAAAAAAAGAAACUGAUUAAAUGCUUUUUAUUUGGUUUCAAGAGGGUCUCUGAAGAAAUCUUAAACUUCUAGAAAGACCCAAUCAGCAAGACAGCAAACACAAACAAAUCAAUCUCAGUGUUACUCCCAAUAUUUUGCAGAUUCACCUACAUAAUGCCCCUUACAAAAUGCUCAACAUCAUAGCAUUCAAAGCUGAAAAUCCCCAAUAAAACUUGAAAACAGAAAAGGAAAAAGCAUCCCAUUUCCAAUCACCAGACAAACAGGAUGUUUUCUUUAUCAAGACACACUUAAUUCUCAGGCUCCUUGAAAUAGGGCAGAAAAGACAUAUCCAUGCCACUGCAGUCACAAUUUCUAGCCCAAGUGUAAGAUCUCCUUCAAAGCACUAAUUAAAGAAGACAUGAGAGCACUGAGUAAGAACACAAAAGUUAAGAGUGGCAACUCCAUUCUCAUCACAAGGAUCCAGACAGAGCAAGAGGAAGUAUGCCAAUACAAGUAUAAAAUCUGAAGAGAAACACUCUCCAAAGAGCCUCUCAUGUCAUUCACAACAUUCUUGUUGAUAAGGAAAAAAACCCACAAGAAAACAGCUGUUUGAAGGAAGAGCUUUCUAUUUCUAAGUGCUCCUGCUGGCUCUUUUAAAAGCCCAAGCCACCAUAACAGGAUUGCCUUUCCCCCAAUCUACCAGAAGACACACAUUGCGCAAGAAAGCCCAAGACUUUCAAAGACAAAGAAGCCAAACACUGUUUAAAGACCCGUCAGGCAUGCAGCAGGCUCGCUUCCUGCUGAGACGAGGCUUGGAGCUUGAGACGGACACGAUCCCGGAUCAGCCACACAUCAUAAAUAAGAUUUUCCUUGUUUGCCUUACACGACCAACGCCAAGAUCAGCACGGGGCAGUGCUGCGGGAUCCCCGCGGCUCCCAUGGAGGGAGAGCCGGGUGCCUCGCUCGGGGCUGCGUUUGCACAUCGCCCUCUUGGGAUAAUGGAAGAGACGCGGAGCCCGCGGCAGCCCCUGCCAGGCGCCAUCCCCGGGGCACUGCCACAUCCCUGUGGAUGUCGCCACCUCCGUGUCCCUCUGGAUCCCCAUCCCAGCACAUGCCCGACAGCCACACCGAGCGUGCGGGGGAGAAUUCCGUGCCGCUGUCCCGGGGUGCUCCGGUGCUCACUUCCACUCGGGAUUUGCACCGACAGAGGUUUUAAAUCGCUGUGCUUGCGAGAAUUCUCCUGAGUAACAGCGAGCCAACACACACAUUUCCUCGGAACUACCCUAGCUAUGCGUUUUACGCAAGCCAAAAUAUGGGGAUUCCAGCCAAAAAAACAAACAACAAAAACAUCGAAACUUGUGUCAUUUCCUUCCUGCGCUCGGGAAGCGGGAUGGAGCCAGGACAGUUUGGUCCUGGAGGAGAAGACACGACCGGCGGUUCCUGAGCGGCCGCCCGGGAGAAGCGGCAACGCCGAGGGAGCCUCGGGACCCCGCUCUGGGCAGCCGCGCCGAGGCCGCUGGUGCCUGCCUCAGACCGGUCCCUGAGCGCUCAUUAACCGGCGGCAAAAAUAAUCCCAGGCAAGGGGAAAUUGUGGUAUUUUGAGACUUGUGUUGCUGCCAAGCCGGGACAAGAUUGACAGUCCAUUGUUCUUAAAAAGUGGCAAGCUGCCAAAUAUUUCGGGUUCAAAAAGCUGGGCAUUGCUCAGGGCUUGACUGAGAAGGACAAGAACUGGAACAGAAUUCAGAGGAACAGAACUGGAAUUCCUGGCGUGUUCCCGCUCUCCCAGCGCUCCCCUGGGACAUCACCUCUGUUGGCAGCUACUUCAGCCCACUCACAGAGGCAGCACCUCAUCCAGCCCGCGCUCUGCAGAGCCCAGAAUAGCCCUCUGAGGAAAACAAAGCCAGAAGGAUUGCCCAGCACUUAAUAGGCACAACAGCAACAAAAAUAGGAACAAUUAUGGUGACUCUGCCAGGGCCUCAGCUUCCUAGAAAAUGAACAAGUCUCAAAGAAAAGAUUUCUAUAAAGAAAUGUCUGCGACAGAUGCCUAGGGUACUUCUCC
Non-coding RNA from Zonotrichia albicollis (white-throated sparrow), 2680 nucleotides. The record is from RefSeq and is a predicted model, not a curated record. NCBI's taxonomy places the organism in Eukaryota, Metazoa, Chordata, Aves, Passeriformes, Passerellidae.